CAGCCGCCGCGGUAAUACGUAGGGUGCGAGCGUUAAUCGGAUUUACUGGGCGUAAAGCGUGCGCAGGCGGCCCGUUAAGACAGGUGUGAAAUCCCUGGGCUCAACCUAGGAAUUGCGCUUGUGACUGGCGGGCUCGAGUACGGUAGAGGGGGGUGGAAUUCCUGGUGUAGCAGUGAAAUGCGUAGAGAACAGGAGGAACACCGAUGGCGAAGGCAGCCCCCUGGGCCUGUACUGACGCUCAUGCACGAAAGCGUGGGGAGCAAACAGGAUUAGAUACCCUGGUAGUCCACGCCCUAAACGAUGGGUACUAGCCGUUUGGUGCGCGAUAGCGCUGAGUGGCGAAGCUAACGCGAGAAGUACCCCGCCUGGGGAGUACGGCCGCAAGGUUGAAACUUAAAGGAAUUGGCGGG
Molecule: ribosomal RNA, 410 nt
Filed under: uncultured microorganism
Description: bacterial SSU rRNA
Rfam family: Bacterial small subunit ribosomal RNA
Source: RNAcentral